GACGAACGCUGGCGGCGUGCCUAAUACAUGCAAGUCGAACGCAUUUUCUUUCACCGUAGCUUGCUACACCGAAAGAAACUGAGUGGCGAACGGGUGAGUAACACGUGGGUAACCUGCCCAUCAGCGGGGGAUAACACUUGGAAACAGGUGCUAAUACCGCAUAAUUCCAUUUACCGCAUGGUAGAUGGGUGAAAGGCGCUUUUGCGUCACUGAUGGAUGGACCCGCGGUGCAUUAGCUAGUUGGGGGGGUAACGGCCUACCAAGGCUGCGAUGCAUAGCCGACCUGAGAGGGGGAUCGGCCACACUGGGACUGAGACCAGGCCCAGACUCCUACGGGAGGCAGCAGUAGGGAAUCUUCGGCAAUGGACGCAAGGCUGAACGAGCAACGCCGCGUGAGUGAAGAAGGUUUUCGGAUCGUAAAACUCUGUUGUUAGAGAAGAAAAAGGAUGAGAGUGGAAAGUUCAUCCCUUGACGGUAUCUAACCAGAAAGCCACGGCUAACUACGUG
This 507-nucleotide ribosomal RNA is filed under the name uncultured bacterium. RNAcentral's name for it is "partial 16S ribosomal RNA". It matches the Rfam family "Bacterial small subunit ribosomal RNA", at positions 28 to 507 of the family's 1533-position model. The record is from RNAcentral.